AAAGAGAGAAGAGAGACUGGCCAGUGGCGGUAUGGUAGCCAGUCAGGGAGCACAAGAGAAUAGAAAUGGCGAAGAAGAAAUAUGCAGGCGCCUCACCUCAUCAUUUCAUCAGCUUAUUCUGUUUUCCCAUCGAUUAAUUAUAGUACACUUGGUGAAAACACCUCUUCAACUUAUCUGUGUGCUCUGGUUGAUUUGUGUUUAAAUUCUACGUUCUUCUCAAAGGAAGCACUGCGGUUGUUGAAGAGUUAUAUCACCAUAUUUGAACAAGGCGAGGUCCCUGUCCAGGUUGCCAUUUUUAUGUGUAGCUGUACUUGUUGAACAUCUACCCUUGUGUACCCUGUUGGCUCGCAAAUAGUAUAGAGCACAUUUCUGUGUUUUUAAUGUAUUUCCAUGCCAGUAAGUGGACUUCAAUAUUUUUUUUUUAAAAAAAACGUGUCUUUCUCCGGCAGAAUGAGGCUGUCUUCUAGGCAUAUGCUGCACAACUUCCAUAACCUUUGGUCAUUGGUGGUGGCGGAGGAGGCGAGAGUGACCUCACAAGUAGCCAAGUUGGCAUGAUGAACGAGUAAGAAUGUGACUCAUAUCUGAAAGGACUACUUUGUGAUAUCUGGUUUCGUUUUUGUUGGAGUAGAGCUAUGAUAUAUCCUUAUAUUGUUAGAGAUUGUGACUAUCUAUGUGAAUCAUUCAUGAUCCUAGACUUUCUCCA
Long non-coding RNA from Populus euphratica (Euphrates poplar), 703 nucleotides. RefSeq lists it as uncharacterized. The transcript is spliced from 2 exons. NCBI's taxonomy places the organism in Eukaryota, Viridiplantae, Streptophyta, Magnoliopsida, Malpighiales, Salicaceae. The record is from RefSeq and is a predicted model, not a curated record.